UAUUCAGCAUUUGGAUUAAACAGAUUUCUUGGGCAAUUUAUCUGCCUAAUUUCCGGCAGUUACUAUUGCAACUCUAAUCAGUACUGACAGAAAUCUCUUGGGAUGAUCCAUAUCAAUCUCUUUUGAGACUACCUCAUCAUCAAUCUUCCCAUUAUUCCUAUCAUUAUUUGAACCAGUACCUGCUUGCCUUCGGCUCCUCUUCCUCUAUAGGCUUGCAUCCAGGCUCUGUGCGGUGCAUGGUGAUCCUACCCGCAUGCAUAAGAGGAUUAUUUCCUCUUUUUCCCAUCCCUCCUUCCUUCCAUCUGGGAUUUUCCAUCUGGGAUUUUGAGCCAAUCACGGCUAACUAUUCAGGUUUUUCAGUCCAUUUUUUCAGACUACUGCCCCCCAUUGGUUCCUGACGAAGCCCCCUUGGGCGAAACUAGUAGUACCGUUACAUGCGGGAUGAAAUGAAGAUCACCUGCAUCUUUAUGCACUUGAAGUAUCAUUUUAUUUGUUAGUCUGGAAUUUGUCUAGUAUGCACUCUAUAGUAU
Molecule: long non-coding RNA, 530 nt
Organism: Rana temporaria (common frog)
Lineage: Eukaryota; Metazoa; Chordata; Amphibia; Anura; Ranidae
Exons: 4
Source: RefSeq, a predicted model, not a curated record